CACAGCACAGCACCCUACACAGCCCAGUAGAUGGGCACUGACCAUGCUCUGCUGUUGUCAUCCAGAGCAGGGACAAGCUGCCCUUCUGGGAGAACGGGACGGGGAGGAAGGAGGCCUGGCAGAACGGCUGGCACGGCUAUGACAAUGAGCUCAUGGACAUGAGAGGCUUCUUCCUUGCGUAUGGGCCAGAUUUCCGAUCCAACUUCCGAGCGCCUCCCAUCAGAUCCGUGGAUGUUUACAACAUCAUGUGCAGCCUGGCAGGGAUACAGCCGCUGCCCAACAAUGGCUCCUGGUCCAGGGUGGAGUGCAUGCUCCGAAACACGGCCCCCUUGGCACCGCUGGCCCCGCGCAGCAGCUGUGCCCUGCUGCCAGCUCUGCUGUCCCUGCUGGCCGUGCGGAUCUCCUUACUGUGACCCCCAGCAACGCCGGGCAGUGUCACCAGCAGCGCCACCCCUCUCUUUUCUUCUUCGUUUGAAUAAUAGCUUCAUUAAUAGAGUGCUGCCUCCCACUGCUCAGUCGUGCUCCACCAGGGAAUCUGACCCAUCCUGCCUUUACAGCGGUUAUGACAUGAAGCCAGGUUCUAUGCUGCUCCAAACACAGCCAGGGAAGUCAGUGUUGCUACUCCAGAUUUACAGCACUGGCCGCAAAAGCAGAAUCCACAAAAUUUCUGGUGGGUGCACAUGAGAUAUUUGAGCACCAAAUGCACCUGAAACCAGCAACUGAGAGGCUCACUGGGCUCCCGGUCCUGAGAAGCUCAGGGUGGAGAUACACCUCUGUGCAUCUAACUGGGUUCUUUCUGAUUUACUCCUUCAUCUCCAGCUCCCUCACGAGCACAACCCCAACUUCUCCUUACAGUGCCAAGCCCUGUCUACGCUGUCGCGUUCUUCAGAGAGCCAAGCACUUUGCUGAGUGGUCAUAACGCCGAGAGAGGUAAUCGGUGGGAGAGCAGUGAGAGCAUCCUACUUCUAUCAGCCCCUCCUUCUUCAUUUUCUACAAAGUGAGGCCUGGCCCUGUGCACCUCCAGGGCCAGGCUUUCCUCAUGGACCAUGGCAGCAGGGACGGCUAGGAAAGGGAAGAGUGAUAGAAAUCCUCCACUUCAAAAACAGGACGGUGAAAAGGCAUCUGGACACCCAGGGGUCAGGAGAAAGAAGGAUGAGGAAGCCUGGCACUUAACAGCCUCUCUGCUUCUUCUGGUGAAGAUAAUUCCAUCUGCUCAGGUGUUGGGGUUUUGUACCCAAUUGUGUUCCUGAAGGCUUUUCAACACUUACUGCUUUUCUACCGGCUCCUGCUCUCCAUUGCUGCCUCCUGAGCAGCACAUGCCCCUCUAUCCUGCAGCAGGGAGAGAGGUCUGUACUGAUGGAUCUCCCACGCUCUCAGUUAAUCCUAGCUAAUAUUUCCACCACAGGCUAUCAAGACCAAGCAAAGUUGUAACAGUAAAGUUAAAUAGCGGGAAAGAAUAGAGCUGUUGUUGGAGGUGCCUUUGGGAGUGCUCAGCGCUUGUUCCGAUAUACCUCUGAACCAGGAGCUUUCCAUGACAAACUGCCUUUGGAAGGAUUUAGGUCCCUCCCCAUGCAAAAUAAACCUCUAGAACUUACUAUUCCUGUGGAUCCAGAGACAAGCACGAUGUGUGUGUAUGUGUGGUGCACUGUGUGUAAGGGUGAAUGAUUACACCGCAGAAAAAAAAAACCAAACACCAAAUUAAACUUGACAAAAGACUUUGUAAUAGCCAUAAAGAUUUAUGUAAUGUGUUUUUAAAGCUCAAGUGAACCAUCAAAUCAAUUAGGGGAAGAAAAAGGGAGAAAAUCAGUCUUUGUUAUUAGAUUGUUGAGUGUAAAAGGCAAUUUAGUGCUUUUGAAGCAUUUGCAGUAGCUGUAAAACAAGCACCUGUUGUUCAGAGUUCCCUGUUGCUCUUUAAUGGUCCAGGCUCAAUGAAUUUGCCAGAGCAUAUUUUUAAAGCAAAAAAAAAAAAAAAAAAUUAUCAAUAUACAAGAAACCAAAUGACUAAAUUAUCAAGCUUUGUUUGGAAAUCAACAGGAUGCAGUCAGUGCCUGCUAAUCCCCCCACAGCCUGCCAUUUUAACUCUUACAGUGAGCAGAACACAAGGUCUUCUUACAGAAGAAAAGACCCUGAAAUGAUAGGGGUAUAGUCAGCUUCUCAAUUAUACCAGCAGUAAUUGGAAAUAACAAAUAGGGUCCAUCGGGUUGUUCCAGGGAUGGAACAUGACACAUGAAACCAACAUUGACCCUUGCGAGUACUUUGUAUAACUCAUUUUUGUGGCUGACCAUUUUGGUCAGUGUCCACAUGCAAGUACUGCAGAGUGUAUCUUCUAAUUGCAAUAUGAUUUGUUCGACCUUAAUGCAAGCAUUGUCUGUACGGCAAAAGGGGGAUUUGACGGUUGACCUGCAAGAAAGAAGCUCAUUAGGUUCAGGAGAACUACAGCUGAUUAUUUUUUGAGAAGUGCAUCUUUCUUCCUGGGAAAUGUUGUACCUCUGAAUCAGUUCACAUUCUCAUUCAAAAAUCACAUGUCUUGACUCUCGCCUAUUUUUCUGUGUGCUAUGCAAAGGAGGCGGGUGUAUUUUAAAACCUAUUUCUGAAUGAUGUUUUUAUACAAUGACUGAUUGUGAAUGAGUGAAUAAUUCUAAGAAUGGUGUUGGGGAAAAUGUGCAUCUUUUUGUAAAUGCUGCAAGGUUUGGGGAAAAAAAACCCAUCCCAUAAUGCCUUGCCUUUCUGGUUUGAUUGCUGCAUCAAAGUGUGAUAAACAGUGUUUGAAGCUUGUGCUGAUUAAUCAUCAGAAAGAUAAAUGAUAACAUUGUUUAGAAAUGGCAAAGUUGUCAGCAUGUAAAUUAGGGACAUUAAAAACAUCACACGAGAUACUGUAGCUUGUAUAUGCAGUCCUUUUUUCCAGAUGUAUUUCAAUAUUUAACCUGUUGAACAUCCACCCAGGGACAUGUAAUUCACACUAGCAAAUGGACAUGACUCCCCUUAGAGUCAUUUUGCUCUCCUUCGAAUAGAGGUGAGCCCAGGGUGCUCUCUCCAGAUCCACUUCUCCAAGCCCACCAUCAGCAAUCAGCUGCUUGCACGGAAGUCAGGUGCAUUGUCCCAGGGUUCAGUUGAUUCAGGCUUUCCAGAGCCCUCACGGCAGACCCCGCUUCCCAGCACAGGAUGGUGCAAAUGGCAACAAGGCCUCAAAAACCAACAUGGGGGGCCUCAAGGACAAGGGGCUCCAAUCCCGCUUUAAGCUCCACAAACUAACAACAAUGUUGAUGGAAGAGAGUGAUUUAAUAAAGUCUCCAGAUUUACUCACUGUGAUUUAUC
Molecule: long non-coding RNA, 3315 nt
Organism: Strigops habroptila (Kakapo)
Lineage: Eukaryota; Metazoa; Chordata; Aves; Psittaciformes; Psittacidae
Source: Ensembl